Molecule: ribosomal RNA, 253 nt
Filed under: uncultured bacterium
Lineage: Bacteria
Description: partial 16S ribosomal RNA
Rfam family: Bacterial small subunit ribosomal RNA
Source: RNAcentral
UACGUAGGGGGCUAGCGUUGUCCGGAAUCAUUGGGCGUAAAGCGCGUGUAGGCGGCCCGGUAAGUCCGCUGUGAAAGUCGGGGGCUCAACCCUCGGAUGCCGGUGGAUACUGUCGGGCUCGAGUACGGAAGAGGCGAGUGGAAUUCCUGGUGUAGCGGUGGAAUGCGCAGAUAUCAGGAGGAACACCGAUUGCGAAGGCAGCUCGCUGGGACGUUACUGACGCUGAGACGCGAAAGCGUGGGGAGCAAACAGG